AUGAGUCUGUUCCCUCCUCACCCCUCUAAAGCCUGUAUAAAAACACCAUCAGGACAAGAUUCUGCAUCCAGUUUCUUAACUCAUCUCUUGAUCAAGGACUUCAGAGAGUUUGAUCAGCAACCAACUCAAGAUGUCUCUAACCCCAUUAGAAUCAGCAUUGCAAACUAUUGCCAACAUUUUCAACCAAUACAAGGAGGAUGGAAGGAAUCCUCCCACAGUCACCAAGGAAAGAAUGCAGAAGCUGAUGAAGGAUCAGCUCCCAAAUUUGAUACAGGAUAUGCACAGAUAUGAUGUCGAAUUGAGUUUUGAUGAGUUCCAGAAUCUUGUCGCCAAA
Long non-coding RNA from Eublepharis macularius, 334 nucleotides. RefSeq lists it as uncharacterized. NCBI's taxonomy places the organism in Eukaryota, Metazoa, Chordata, Lepidosauria, Squamata, Eublepharidae. The transcript is spliced from 3 exons. The record is from RefSeq and is a predicted model, not a curated record.